RNAcentral lists this non-coding RNA (28 nucleotides) under Cricetulus griseus (Chinese hamster). Lineage: Eukaryota; Metazoa; Chordata; Mammalia; Rodentia; Cricetidae. The record is from RNAcentral.
GUGCAGAUGGCUGGCCUUGAACUUGUGG